This 365-nucleotide ribosomal RNA is filed under the name Acanthephyra acutifrons. Its description in RNAcentral is "partial 12S ribosomal RNA". The record is from RNAcentral. Lineage: Eukaryota; Metazoa; Arthropoda; Malacostraca; Decapoda; Oplophoridae.
UGUUAUACUUAGUUGAAAAUUUAUUUAAGCUUGAGUAGUAAUCAGUUAUGUUCUUGAAACUUAAAGGAUUUGGCGGUAUCUUAGUCUAGUUAGAGGAACCUGUUUUAUAAACGAUAAACCACGAAAUAUCUUACUUCUUUUAGUAAAAUCAGUUUGUAUACCGUCAUUAUUAGAUAAUCUUUAUAAAGAGUUAUUGAGAUAAAUGUUUAUUAGUAUAUUAGAUCAAGGUGCAGCCGAUAGGGAAGAAAGUAAUGGGUUACAAUGUUAUUUAGUAUACACGGAAGAAGAGGCAGAAUGUUUCUCGGAAGGUGGAUUUAAUAGUAAUUGUGUUUUAAUAAGGAGCAAUGAUAUUGGCUCUAUGAUAU